RNAcentral lists this ribosomal RNA (253 nucleotides) under uncultured bacterium. RNAcentral's name for it is "partial 16S ribosomal RNA". It matches the Rfam family "Bacterial small subunit ribosomal RNA", at positions 524 to 776 of the family's 1533-position model. The record is from RNAcentral.
UACGGAGGGUGCGAGCGUUGCUCGGAAUCACUGGGCGUAAAGCGUACGCAGGCGGUUCGUUAAGUCGGGUGUGAAAGCCCUGGGCUCAACCCAGGAAGUGCACUCGAAACUGCGAGGCUAGAGUAUCGGAGAGGUUGGUGGAAUUCUCGGUGUAGAGGUGAAAUUCGUAGAUAUCGAGAGGAACACCGGUGGCGAAGGCAGGUCUCUGGGCCACUACUGACGCUGAGAAGCGAAAGCAUGGGGAGCGAACAGG